UGAGGAUAAAGCCGGUUCUGGGAGGUUCGAGUCUUUUGGCUGCAUCUCUGUGUGCCGCAUUAGAGAGAAGGAGCCGUUGUCUUGACAGCCCGUCACUGUGGCGACCGAGCACAUUCCAGAGCUGAGAUGUUAUAGAAUCAGCUCUGAGGUCAAGAGCAUGGAAAGAUACAGCUAUGAGAAAACAUGUUGGAGUCCUUCGACUUGAACAUUCGCUCAUCAUGAACUGGAAUCUCACUUAAGAUGCCAGAAAAGCCCAAGAAGUUCAUUUCGUGGCCUGCCAUCAAACCCCUUCUCAGAAAUAAACAGCUGAACUGAAUCCUCCAAUGCAAUGCAUUUAAAGAGCGGCAACAUU
Danio aesculapii is the source of this 352-nucleotide long non-coding RNA. RefSeq lists it as uncharacterized. Lineage: Eukaryota; Metazoa; Chordata; Actinopteri; Cypriniformes; Danionidae. The record is from RefSeq and is a predicted model, not a curated record. The transcript has 3 exons.